CCUUCCAGAUAGAUUGAGGCCAUCUGAAUUUAGAGUCCCUGCUCAUCCUUGGAUACGGAUUUUUCUUUGAAAGAUUGCCUGAGACUGGCUCCCUACUCGGACUUUACUUUGGGAGCGAGGCAUGGAGGUUCUGAUCUUGUGCCUGAUUUAUGGGAUGGAGGAUGAGUCUAUGGAGCAUGCUGUCCUACACUACUCUAGGACGGGGAUCAUUUGGAGACGGAUGGACGAUUACCCUUGAGAGAGGAGUCCUGGCCUUUGGUUGGCAUCCUUCCUAAGUUCGAUCCGUCAGAGUAUU
Molecule: long non-coding RNA, 295 nt
Filed under: Elaeis guineensis (African oil palm)
Lineage: Eukaryota; Viridiplantae; Streptophyta; Magnoliopsida; Arecales; Arecaceae
Description: long non-coding RNA (EGUI_LNC009764)
Source: RNAcentral